UUGAAGAUUGUUUACCUUGUGCGUAAGGUUUGGCCACUUGUUAUUGAGGUUAGCUAUUUGUUACUUUCCUUGUGUUGUGGGGCGCAUUAUUGUUGAUUGUUGCUUGUGGUGCCGUGAGCUUGCUUGCUAUUGUUGAUAGCUUGUUAUUACUUGGGGUGCUUGAGUGGACUUGGCCAUUGGGAGUUUGAUGUUCACCUAGUUGCCGUGAGUAUUUAUUGGUUGCUUGUGGUAUUGAGUGGUUCAGCCAUUGUUGGGGUUGGAUAUAACCUUAUUGCCGUGUACUCUUCCUUGUUGUGAG
Molecule: unclassified non-coding RNA, 298 nt
Filed under: Hevea brasiliensis (rubber tree)
Lineage: Eukaryota; Viridiplantae; Streptophyta; Magnoliopsida; Malpighiales; Euphorbiaceae
Source: RNAcentral